Molecule: unclassified non-coding RNA, 145 nt
Filed under: soil metagenome
Description: partial internal transcribed spacer 1
Source: RNAcentral
UAAUAAGUGUUUUAUGGCACUUUUUAAAUCCAUAUCCACCAUGUGUGCAAUGUCAGUCGAUCUUCUUCAUGGAGAUCGACCAAACAUCAACCUUUAUCUUUUAACUCUUUGUCUGAAAAAUAUUAUGAAUAAACAAUUCAAAAUA